CAGGCUUAACACAUGCAAGUCGAGGGGCAGCAUGGUCUUAGCUUGCUAAGGCCGAUGGCGACCGGCGCACGGGUGAGUAACACGUAUCCAACCUGCCGUCUACUCUUGGACAGCCUUCUGAAAGGAAGAUUAAUACAAGAUGGCAUCAUGAGUCCGCAUGUUCACAUGAUUAAAGGUAUUCCGGUAGACGAUGGGGAUGCGUUCCAUUAGAUAGUAGGCGGGGUAACGGCCCACCUAGUCUUCGAUGGAUAGGGGUUCUGAGAGGAAGGUCCCCCACAUUGGAACUGAGACACGGUCCAAACUCCUACGGGAGGCAGCAGUGAGGAAUAUUGGUCAAUGGGCGAGAGCCUGAACCAGCCAAGUAGCGUGAAGGAUGACUGCCCUAUGGGUUGUAAACUUCUUUUAUAAAGGAAUAAAGUCGGGUAUGGAUACCCGUUUGCAUGUACUUUAUGAAUAAGGAUCGGCUAACUCCGUGCCAGCAGCCGCGGUAAUACGGAGGAUCCGAGCGUUAUCCGGAUUUAUUGGGUUUAAAGGGAGCGUAGAUGGAUGUUUAAGUCAGUUGUGAAAGUUUGCGGCUCAACCGUAAAAUUGCAGUUGAUACUGGAUAUCUUGAGUGCAGUUGAGGCAGGCGGAAUUCGUGGUGUAGCGGUGAAAUGCUUAGAUAUCACGAAGAACUCCGAUUGCGAAGGCAGCCUGCUAAGCUGCAACUGACAUUGAGGCUCGAAAGUGUGGGUAUCAAACAGGAUUAGAUACCCUGGUAGUCCACACGGUAAACGAUGAAUACUCGCUGUUUGCGAUAUACUGCAGGCGGCCAAGCGAAAGCGUUAAGUAUUCCACCUGGGGAGUACGCCGGCAACGGUGAAACUCAAAGGAAUUGACGGGGGCCCGCACAAGCGGAGGAACAUGUGGUUUAAUUCGAUGAUACGCGAGGAACCUUACCCGGGCUUAAAUUGCAGAUGAAUUACGGUGAAAGCCGUAAGCCGCAAGGCAUCUGUGAAGGUGCUGCAUGGUUGUCGUCAGCUCGUGCCGUGAGGUGUCGGCUUAAGUGCCAUAACGAGCGCAACCCUUGUUGUCAGUUACUAACAGGUUCCGCUGAGGACUCUGACAAGACUGCCAUCGUAAGAUGUGAGGAAGGUGGGGAUGACGUCAAAUCAGCACGGCCCUUACGUCCGGGGCUACACACGUGUUACAAUGGGGGGUACAGAGGGCCGCUACCACGCGAGUGGAUGCCAAUCCCCAAAACCUCUCUCAGUUCGGACUGGAGUCUGCAACCCGACUCCACGAAGCUGGAUUCGCUAGUAAUCGCGCAUCAGCCACGGCGCGGUGAAUACGUUCCCGGGCCUUGUACACACCGCCCGUCAAGCCAUGGGAGCCGGGGGUACCUGAAGUGCGUAACCGCGAGGAGCGCCCUAGGGUAAAACUGGUGACUGGGGC
This 1434-nucleotide ribosomal RNA is filed under the name uncultured organism. RNAcentral's name for it is "16S ribosomal RNA". It matches the Rfam family "Bacterial small subunit ribosomal RNA". The record is from RNAcentral.